Molecule: ribosomal RNA, 460 nt
Filed under: uncultured bacterium
Lineage: Bacteria
Description: partial 16S ribosomal RNA
Rfam family: Bacterial small subunit ribosomal RNA
Source: RNAcentral
CCUACGGGAGGCAGUAGUGAGGAAUAUUGGUCAAUGGACGAGAGUCUGAACCAGCCAAGUAGCGUGAAGGAUGACUGCCCUAUGGGUUGUAAACUUCUUUUAUAUGGGAAUAAAACGUUCCACGUGUGGGAUUUUGUAUGUACCAUAUGAAUAAGGAUCGGCUAACUCCGUGCCAGCAGCCGCGGUAAUACGGAGGAUCCGAGCGUUAUCCGGAUUUAUUGGGUUUAAAGGGAGCGUAGGUGGAUUGUUAAGUCAGUAGUGAAAGUUUGCGGCUCAACCGUAAAAUUGCAGUUGAAACUGGCAGUCUUGAGUACAGUAGAGGUGGGCGGAAUUCGUGGUGUAGCGGUGAAAUGCUUAGAUAUCACGAAGAACUCCGAUUGCGAAGGCAGUUCACUGGACUGCAACUGACACUGAGGCUCGAAAGUGUGGGUAUCAAACAGGAUUAGAUACCCUGGUAGUC